CUUCUUUUGUUCGUCAUCAACUCCAGUAGAGCUGAUAAUACUACGCCAUUUGGUUAUUGCCCUUCAUCUUUUUGCGAUAAUGGACUCAAUAUUUCAUAUCCUUUUUGGAGACUUGACAACUACCACUCCACCUCUCCACAAUACUGUGGUUAUCCAGGAUUUGGGAUCAAUUGCUCUCAAAUCAAUUCAAUUCUGUAAGGGAGUUUAAUGACAGUGGCUACUCCCUUAUCUUACUCUAGAUGGCGACUUGCCAUUGCAAUAUUCGGAGCUUGAUAUGAACCUUAAUUUCUAUUAUCUCUGUCCUAAUUUAUGAGAUACUUUUCAUUUUUGAAAGUCCGGCGGGGUGCCUGUCACUUUCUUCUACUCUAUCUUCCAAAUUCCUCCGUGACCAAGUCAAAUAUAAGAAAUAUAAUACAGUAUUUGGUUGAAUACACAAGUAAACCACAAUUAGUUUGCAAUUCUUCAAACAUCAACUCCUAACAAUGUGUCCAAGUCAAGUAUUCUUCAUCUCUCUACUUCUUCUUCUUUUGUUCGUCAUCAACUCCAGUAGAGCUGAUAAUACUACGCCAUUUGGUUAUUGCCCUUCAUCUUUUUGCGAUAAUGGACUCAAUAUUUCAUAUCCUUUUUGGAGACUUGACAACUACCACUCCACCUCUCCACAAUACUGUGGUUAUCCAGGAUUUGGGAUCAAUUGCUCUCAAUUGAAUUCAAUUCUGUACAUUUCUGAUGACUCUUUCAAUGUUACGAAGAUUGAUUACAAUAACCUCUCCCUUACCCUGGUGGAUAUUGAUGGUGUUGAUCACAGAGGAUGCCCGAGAGUACAUCAUAACCUUACUCUGGAUGACGACUUUCCAUUGGAAUAUUCGAAGCUUGAUUUAUACCUUAAUUUCUACUACAACUGUACCGUUUCCCUUCCAGAUUCUGCUGAUCGGUUAGAUUGCUUAACAUCAAGAGGAAACUAUUCAUAUUUUUAUGUUGGGGAUCAUGAGCCGGAAGAUUUGAAGUGGUAUGGAAUUUGUGAGAAGAAAGUGGUGGUGCCGG
Molecule: long non-coding RNA, 1041 nt
Filed under: Solanum tuberosum (potato)
Lineage: Eukaryota; Viridiplantae; Streptophyta; Magnoliopsida; Solanales; Solanaceae
Description: long non-coding RNA (STUB_LNC011610)
Source: RNAcentral